ACCGCGGCAUCCUGGGAGGCGUAGUUCUCACUCCUAUGACAGAAAACGAGGGUGUGGCCAGCAAAGGACUUCAAGGCCCAUGAUCCCUUAGGAGGGGGCCGGCUGCAUUAGGGGUGGCUGCUGGUUUGUAACGUCUACGAGAAAACAGUCUCGGAGCUAAAAAUGAAUGGGAAUAAUCCACAUGAGAGUUGCUCCUUCUGCCUGGGCCUGGGAAUGAGAAGACCUGUGGAGCUGAGCUACUGCUUACCCACAACCUGCAUAUACAUAAAUCAGAAGCCAGCACUGGUUGUUGUGAGUCGCUUAGAUUUUGGGCUUGAUGAAGAUGACCUUAGGCACAGUGACCCUGAAGGCCACAUGUUAAAGACAGUGGAGCCACAGGAUGGAAGGAAGCUGGUUCCCUGAAUCAUCACGUGGCAGAGAGCGGACCACUAAUCAGGAUCAUGUGUUUCAGAUUUCACUUGACCAAUAAAUCAAUUUCAAUUUUGUUACACUG
This 493-nucleotide long non-coding RNA is filed under the name Homo sapiens (human). RNAcentral describes it as "HSALNT0368359". Lineage: Eukaryota; Metazoa; Chordata; Mammalia; Primates; Hominidae. The record is from RNAcentral.